UGGGGAAUAUUGCGCAAUGGGGGAAACCCUGACGCAGCAACGCCGCGUGAUUGAAGAAGGCCUUCGGGUUGUAAAGAUCUUUAAUUAGGGACGAAAAUUUGACGGUACCUAAAGAAUAAGCUCCGGCUAACUACGUGCCAGCAGCCGCGGUAAUACGUAGGGAGCAAGCGUUAUCCGGAUUUACUGGGUGUAAAGGGCGAGUAGGCGGGCUGGUAAGUUGGAAGUGAAAUCUGGGGGCUCAACCCCAAACUGCUUUCAAACUGCUGGUCUUGAGUGAUGGAGAGGCAGGCGGAAUUCCGUGUGUAGCGGUGAAAUGCGUAGAUAUACGGAGGAACACCAGUGGCGAAGGCGGCCUGCUGGACAUUAACUGACGCUGAGGAGCGAAAGCGUGGGGAGCAAACAGGAUUAGAUACC
RNAcentral lists this ribosomal RNA (414 nucleotides) under uncultured bacterium. Its description in RNAcentral is "bacterial SSU rRNA". It matches the Rfam family "Bacterial small subunit ribosomal RNA", at positions 355 to 786 of the family's 1533-position model. The record is from RNAcentral.